This 1545-nucleotide ribosomal RNA is filed under the name Klebsiella pneumoniae. RNAcentral describes it as "bacterial SSU rRNA". It matches the Rfam family "Bacterial small subunit ribosomal RNA". Lineage: Bacteria; Pseudomonadati; Pseudomonadota; Gammaproteobacteria; Enterobacterales; Enterobacteriaceae. The record is from RNAcentral.
AAAUUGAAGAGUUUGAUCAUGGCUCAGAUUGAACGCUGGCGGCAGGCCUAACACAUGCAAGUCGAGCGGUAGCACAGAGAGCUUGCUCUCGGGUGACGAGCGGCGGACGGGUGAGUAAUGUCUGGGAAACUGCCUGAUGGAGGGGGAUAACUACUGGAAACGGUAGCUAAUACCGCAUAACGUCGCAAGACCAAAGUGGGGGACCUUCGGGCCUCAUGCCAUCAGAUGUGCCCAGAUGGGAUUAGCUAGUAGGUGGGGUAACGGCUCACCUAGGCGACGAUCCUAGCUGGUCUGAGAGGAUGACCAGCCACACUGGAACUGAGACACGGUCCAGACUCCUACGGGAGGCAGCAGUGGGGAAUAUUGCACAAUGGGCGCAAGCCUGAUGCAGCCAUGCCGCGUGUGUGAAGAAGGCCUUCGGGUUGUAAAGCACUUUCAGCGGGGAGGAAGGCGAUAAGGUUAAUAACCUUGUCGAUUGACGUUACCCGCAGAAGAAGCACCGGCUAACUCCGUGCCAGCAGCCGCGGUAAUACGGAGGGUGCAAGCGUUAAUCGGAAUUACUGGGCGUAAAGCGCACGCAGGCGGUCUGUCAAGUCGGAUGUGAAAUCCCCGGGCUCAACCUGGGAACUGCAUUCGAAACUGGCAGGCUAGAGUCUUGUAGAGGGGUAGAAUUCCGUGUAGCGGUGAAAUGCGUAGAGAUCUGGAGGAAUACCGGUGGCGAAGGCGGCCCCCUGGACAAAGACUGACGCUCAGGUGCGAAAGCGUGGGGAGCAAACAGGAUUAGAUACCCUGGUAGUCCACGCCGUAAACGAUGUCGAUUUGGAGGUUGUGCCCUUGAGGCGUGGCUUCCGGAGCUAACGCGUUAAAUCGACCGCCUGGGGAGUACGGCCGCAAGGUUAAAACUCAAAUGAAUUGACGGGGGCCCGCACAAGCGGUGGAGCAUGUGGUUUAAUUCGAUGCAACGCGAAGAACCUUACCUGGUCUUGACAUCCACAGAACUUUCCAGAGAUGGAUUGGUGCCUUCGGGAACUGUGAGACAGGUGCUGCAUGGCUGUCGUCAGCUCGUGUUGUGAAAUGUUGGGUUAAGUCCCGCAACGAGCGCAACCCUUAUCCUUUGUUGCCAGCGGUCCGGCCGGGAACUCAAAGGAGACUGCCAGUGAUAAACUGGAGGAAGGUGGGGAUGACGUCAAGUCAUCAUGGCCCUUACGACCAGGGCUACACACGUGCUACAAUGGCAUAUACAAAGAGAAGCGACCUCGCGAGAGCAAGCGGACCUCAUAAAGUAUGUCGUAGUCCGGAUUGGAGUCUGCAACUCGACUCCAUGAAGUCGGAAUCGCUAGUAAUCGUAGAUCAGAAUGCUACGGUGAAUACGUUCCCGGGCCUUGUACACACCGCCCGUCACACCAUGGGAGUGGGUUGCAAAAGAAGUAGGUAGCUUAACCUUCGGGAGGGCGCUUACCACUUUGUGAUUCAUGACUGGGGUGAAGUCGUAACAAGGUAACCGUAGGGGAACCUGCGGUUGGAUCACCUCCUUACCUUAAAGAA